Molecule: ribosomal RNA, 413 nt
Filed under: uncultured bacterium
Lineage: Bacteria
Description: bacterial SSU rRNA
Rfam family: Bacterial small subunit ribosomal RNA
Source: RNAcentral
AGCGAACGUUUGCGGCGGGCCUAACACAUGCAAGUCGAACGGGCUAGCAAUAGUCAGUGGCGCACGGGUGCGUAACACGUGGGUAAUCAACCCUUCAGCUCGGGAUAACGCCUUGAAAGGGGCGCUAAUACCGGAUACGACGCGAGGAGCUUCGGCUGCUUGCGGGAAAGAUUCGCAAGGGAUCUCUGAAGGACGAGCCUGCGGCCUAUCAGCUAGUUGGUGAGGUAAGAGCUCACCAAGGCGAAGACGGGUAGCUGGUCUGAGAGGAUGAUCAGCCACACUGGAACUGAGACACGGUCCAGACUCCUACGGGAGGCAGCAGUGGGGAAUAUUGCGCAAUGGGCGAAAGCCUGACGCAGCCACGCCGCGUGAGCGAUGAAGGCCUGGGUCGUAAAGCUCUGUGGGAGAGAGAA